CCUGUACGGCUUUGCCACAGGUCGGGAUGUGAUCCGCGGGGCCGACGCCUCGUUGAGAUUGAACCAGGAA
Regulatory RNA element from Natronobacterium gregoryi SP2, 70 nucleotides. It matches the Rfam family "eL15-Euryarchaeota ribosomal protein leader". NCBI's taxonomy places the organism in Archaea, Methanobacteriati, Methanobacteriota, Halobacteria, Halobacteriales, Natrialbaceae. The record is from Rfam.